GAUGGAGAACGUAGCGAAAUGCGAUAAGUAAUGUGAAUUGCAGAAUUCAGUGAACCAUCGAAUCUUUGAACGCACAUUGCGCCCGGCAGUAAUCUGCCGGGCAUGCCUGUCCGAGCGUCAUUUCUCCCCUCGAGCGCAGCUUUCCCCCCCGGGGGAGGGCCGCGCCCGGUGUUGGGGCGCUACGGAGGAGCCCAGCGCUCCCCCGUAGGCCCCGAAAUGUAGUGGCGGUCCCGCCGCGGCGCCCCCUGCGUAGUAGUUUUACAACUCGCAUCGGGUCCCGGCGGAGGCCAGCCGUCAAACCCCCCAACUUCAAUAGUUUGACCUCGGAUCAGGUAGGGUUACCCGCUGAACUUAAGCAUAUCAAUAAGCGGAGGA
RNAcentral lists this unclassified non-coding RNA (375 nucleotides) under soil metagenome. Its description in RNAcentral is "partial contains 5.8S ribosomal RNA, internal transcribed spacer 2, and large subunit ribosomal RNA". The stretch from base 1 to 120 matches the Rfam family "5.8S ribosomal RNA", at positions 35 to 154 of the family's 154-position model. The record is from RNAcentral.